GCUUAUUCCAACUUAAGUUCUUGAAGGAUGUGUUUAAUUGCUGAAAAAAUAACAGGAAACUGCUAGAAAAAUAUGUUCACAUUAUUAAAAAUGGAAAAAAUUGUUCUCUUAGAUAACCAUGGUUCCAUUUUGUGAAAGGUUUCAAUUGCUUUUAGAUGACUAUUUGUUUGUAGUUUUUCUACUGUAUAGGACUUCGUCUUGCAUUUUAUUGAUAUAAAGAAUGUCUACUUUCCUAAUCGUAAUUGAAGCUUCAUUAGUUUCAAUUUAUCUAUUGAUUAAUUCUAUGAUGAAGCUUUAAACUUCUGAUGAUUUAAGUUUGAUGAUUAA
Molecule: unclassified non-coding RNA, 327 nt
Filed under: Hevea brasiliensis (rubber tree)
Lineage: Eukaryota; Viridiplantae; Streptophyta; Magnoliopsida; Malpighiales; Euphorbiaceae
Source: RNAcentral